UACGUAGGGUGCAGGCGUUAAUCGGAAUUACUGGGCGUAAAGCGUGCGCAGGCGGUCUUUUAAGUCAGAUGUGAAAUCCCCGGGCUUAACCUGGGAACUGCGUUUGAAACUGGAAGGCUAGAGUGUGGCAGAGGGGGGUGGAAUUCCACGUGUAGCAGUGAAAUGCGUAGAUAUGCGGAGGAAUACCGAUGGCGAAGGCAAUCCCCUGGGCCUGCACUGACGCUCAUGCACGAAAGCGUGGGGAGCAAACAGG
RNAcentral lists this ribosomal RNA (253 nucleotides) under uncultured bacterium. RNAcentral describes it as "partial 16S ribosomal RNA". It matches the Rfam family "Bacterial small subunit ribosomal RNA", at positions 524 to 776 of the family's 1533-position model. The record is from RNAcentral.